GGCCUGGUGGUCUAGUAGUAUGAUUCCUUGUUAGGGCAGUCGUGUGUAGAUGUACAAUAUCGAGGAGGUCCCGGGUUCAAUUCCCGGCCAGGCCC
Sistotremastrum niveocremeum HHB9708 is the source of this 95-nucleotide non-coding RNA. The record is from the annotation of a GenBank genome assembly. Lineage: Eukaryota; Fungi; Basidiomycota; Agaricomycetes; Sistotremastrales; Sistotremastraceae.